AGCUCUCAUUUUCCUAUUUUGGAUGCUUUGUGUUGCAUAAUAUCUGGGAUACAGUAGCAGGUUGGUUGCAAAUGUUUGAAACAGAAAUAGGUUGCAUUUCAGAGUCCAACUGUGAGCCUGUGAAGCAGCUAGCGUUCUCUCAAGGUCUGUUGCCUCGGAAUCGGUUAGAAAUUAUUGUAUUUAGGUGUAAAAUGGUGACUUGGUCUUUCAGGCGGCUUGAGUUUAUAACUGGCCCUUUUACCCUGAGACUUAUCAGCUACCUCCUUCUCCAAAAGAAUGACAGAGGAUGUCCCCCUGGGAGUCAAGGUGGAAGCCUGAGGCGAGCUGCUACUGCAUCAGGGCAGCACAGAACAUCAGACAGGGAGAGUGGGGGCGAGGAGGAGACAGGAGAUCCCACACUCCACAUUCCAGAUUUCAAGAUGGCUAUUUAAAAAUCCUUCCCGAGACCAAGUGCACUACAGAAAAUAUAAUGAAACAAAAAUAAAGAAAAAAUAUGUCACAAUGUCAUUUCAUUAUCAAACCAACCCCCUCCGAUGAAACACACACACACACACACACACACAUGCGCAUUUCCACAGAAUGCCUUGAAAUUCUAGUUUUCUUCAUGGUCACUGUAAACUGCUAUAUAUAUAUAUAUAUAUAUAUAUAUAUAUAUAUAUAUAUAUAUUCAUAUUUACCUGGUAACUAGCUGGGGUGGUGUACCUGAUUUAGCUGGAGACUUUG
RNAcentral lists this long non-coding RNA (723 nucleotides) under Canis lupus familiaris (dog). RNAcentral describes it as "lncRNA (ENSCAFG00000052076.1, ENSCAFG00845021148.1)". Lineage: Eukaryota; Metazoa; Chordata; Mammalia; Carnivora; Canidae. The record is from RNAcentral.